AGUAAAUAACAUGACUCUAUUAUUAAACGAUGUUUGAUACAUGUGACAAUUUUAUCCUAGGUCAAAACAAAAUAAUUUCACGAACUAACGUACAUAAACUUAAAUGUAACCAAAAGUGCGAGGGAUUGGAGAUAUGUCUGUCAAUAAGUUAGUGUGUGCGCUCUUCGUGUUGGAUAUUACACAUAAGACCACAUGCGUAGAAAAUUUUGGCGUUGAAAAGAUAAUUGAAGAAAAACACCUCCGCGAUAAUGGGUUCACGGACUUUGCUGUUGUAAAAUUGGACGAAAUCAUAAUUACUGGAAACAAUCAGAACGUAAAUAGGU
Long non-coding RNA from Dreissena polymorpha, 323 nucleotides. RefSeq lists it as uncharacterized. The transcript has 3 exons. Lineage: Eukaryota; Metazoa; Mollusca; Bivalvia; Myida; Dreissenidae. The record is from RefSeq and is a predicted model, not a curated record.